UAAAUGAGCCACUGCGAGAAGAAGUUUCGAACCAGGUCAGGAUGGGAACAUAGCAGCCUUAAGAUUUAUUCUUACUGUGCGGUGGUUUU
This 89-nucleotide signal recognition particle RNA is filed under the name Candidatus Onthovivens merdipullorum. Its description in RNAcentral is "partial signal recognition particle sRNA small type". It matches the Rfam family "Bacterial small signal recognition particle RNA". Rfam says of the family: The signal recognition particle (SRP) is a universally conserved ribonucleoprotein involved in the co-translational targeting of proteins to membranes. Lineage: Bacteria; Bacillati; Bacillota; Bacilli; Caryophanales. The record is from RNAcentral.